Molecule: long non-coding RNA, 604 nt
Organism: Raphanus sativus (radish)
Lineage: Eukaryota; Viridiplantae; Streptophyta; Magnoliopsida; Brassicales; Brassicaceae
Exons: 3
Source: RefSeq, a predicted model, not a curated record
UUGCAGGUUUUUAGUUGGGUUCAGAACAUCAGAUAUUUUGGUUCUAGAUAUCUGGCAACAAAGAUGGAUGAUUGGGAGGCUGAGGAUUUUCAACCACUUCCUGCAAAAGUUGUGCUCAAAAGUAACUAUGACGGCGAGGAUGUCGAUGAGAAGGAUAUCAAGGACUCCUGGGAUGAGGAUGAUGAACCUGUUCAUAUUUGUAGGCAUCUGUAAUAAAGCCUGCUACUGAGAAGGCUCCAAUGAAAGCAGCAGCAGCAAAAGGUGUGGAGAAGAAAACUAAAACUGUUGAAGUUUCAAAAGAAUCAUCAAAGGAAAAACUUUUAGAUCCUAUUGCUGAGAAACUUUGCAUGCAGAGAUAUAAUAUUGAAACAUUUCACUCCUAUAUAUAUUUGCUUCUUCUUUUGGUUCCUAGAGAUGAAAGCUUGCCUGAGGCUGGCAAUGCUGAGGCACACUUUAUAAAGGGAGUGAAGCAGUACUUUGCAUUGGAUCAGCUUAAAAGGACUCAAACAUCUAAGGUCCUCAGCCAAGGACAACCAUGAUUUUAUAAUUAUCCUGUUUUGUUGAAUUUUUAAUAUUCCAGUACCUAUAUCUAAUAUUGAUGGAC